This 22-nucleotide microRNA is filed under the name Glycine max (soybean). Its description in RNAcentral is "gma-miR9765". The record is from miRBase by way of RNAcentral. Lineage: Eukaryota; Viridiplantae; Streptophyta; Magnoliopsida; Fabales; Fabaceae.
UAAUACAGAAUUCGGAGACAAC